UUUUUAAUUGUGCAUUAAGUUGAAUGAUACAGUAUGAUUUUCAUCGUAACUUUCUUGGGAGCAUGCUCACAGUUUAUUAUUUUAAAGAUGUGAUUCUUGCAGAUUAUUAUUAUCAUCAUCAUCAUCCAAUAACUAGGUUAUUCUUUUUAAUGCAAAUAAGGAAAAGAAGUUCCAAUUCCUAAGAGAGUAGUUAACCUGCUCUAUCAUUUCUCUAUGCGCAAAAGGCGAUUAAUUAAAUAGUUUUCUUUAGUUCUUCUUUGACGGAAAGAUAGAAGGUCAUGCCAAGCCUGUUUAGUUCCCCUGCACUUUUGUUUUCUAAUCUGAGAUCAAUUCCCUUGAACUGUAAGGAACUCCGGGUUCAUGAAGAAAAAAAUUGGCUACGGUUUUAAAUCUCAGAAUUUACUUGAGGGCGUGCUCAUAGUUCA
RNAcentral lists this long non-coding RNA (425 nucleotides) under Olea europaea (common olive). RNAcentral describes it as "long non-coding RNA (OEUR_LNC005727)". The record is from RNAcentral. Lineage: Eukaryota; Viridiplantae; Streptophyta; Magnoliopsida; Lamiales; Oleaceae.